AAAAUGCUGAGAUUACAGGUGUGAGCCACUGCACCUGGCUGUGGGUAGGUGUUUUUAAAGGCUCCUUUUUGUUUUGUGAGUCAGAAGAAAUCGACUGCAUAAAUCAAAUCCAAGAUAGUUGGUGAAGGGAAAUUAAGGGCUUACUGGAUUUUCUUGUGCACCAAGAAAGGAAAAGUGAUAAGAAUUUAGAGCAGAGAUACCUUUUUCCAAGAAUAGGGAUUUGUUCCACCUUGAACUGGGUUCACCAACAAGAAGGAACUGUGUGCAGGCAGCCUAUUUACACUGGGAGGGAUGGAGGAAAGUGUAGCAGGAAAUAGAGGAUGGGUGACAACAGUCUACCCCAAAAGUCACCUAACUCUUAGGAUGACUGAAGCUCCAUCCCAUGUGGAAGCAUGGGGACAAUGCCUCUGGGCUAUUCCAUUUGAGAGGAGAGAGCUGGGGUGUGUAUACUCGUACUUCUGUUCUCAUCUAUUGAUGGUCGCCUCGGUUAGUCUGUUGUGUCUUUGUAUAACAGAAUGUCCAAAACUGUAAUUGAUAAAGAGCAGACAAUUAUUCUCUCAUAUUUCUGGAGGAUGGGAAGUGUAAGAUCAAGGUACUAUCAGAUUAGGGUUCGGUUUAUCUACUUUCAAGAUGGCAUUAUGAAUCCUGAGUCCUCCAGAAGGAAGGAAGUCCAUGCCCUACAUGACAGAAGAGAAGAAAAGAGAGAGAGAGAAAGCUUGCUCCCACAAGUGGGAAAGAGCAGAGACUCACUCUCAGGAACCUGCAACCCCCACACUCCAAGAACGGAAAGAAUAGAAAAUCUUGAGUCUCUUCAAAGUAAAUUUCAAGCACCUACCUAGCCUUAAGAAGUAAGUAAGUAACAUGAUAAGCAAGGAAGUAAUAACCUAAAACAAUAGCUAAAUAAGUUAGACUCACAGAAUGGUGGCUUCCCCUAUAGAAACUGAAGAUGACAUUGUAAUAGAUGUCUCUGAGGUGUUUUUGAGAAAACAAGACCCCCUCCAAAUGAAUAGGCCAACACAUGGACCUCACAAAAGGGGGAACUGGGGACUGAGCUCUGACCAUGGUGCUUUGUUCUAAAUAUCUUACAGAGGGGCCUGGUAAAAGUCAUAUCCAUAAACCUGAGCUAAUGUUCUCUUCUGCUGAAUCCAAAUUUUUAAACAAAGCUUUUCUUCCUUAACCAAUUGCAAAUUUAGAACUCUUGUAAUCUACUCUUUAUCUGUAAGCCCCUGCUUCAAGAUGUCCUGCCCUUUUAGGCUAAAACCAAUAUGUGACCUCCAUGUAUUAAUUUUCAAUUUUAUCUGUAAUUUCUACUUUCCUGAAAUUUACUCCUACCUUAUAAAACCCUUACUUGCAAGCCAUCAGUGAGUCCAGGAUUUGAGUCUUAGCUGCCAGAUUCUCUUUACCUGAUGUCCUACAAACAAACAAACACUUACUUUCUCCUGCUGCAAACUCGGUGUGAAUAUCUGAUCUCACUGAACUGAGUGAGUGGACUGCAGUUCUAUUCCAUAGCACAAGCCCUGUUUAGAGUGGCAUUUAUCCAUUCAUGAGGGCAGAGACCUCAUGACUUAAACCCUUCCCAUUAGGUCCCACCUCCCAAUUCCAUUGCAUUGAGAUGAACUUAACAACAGAUGGGUUUUGAGGGACACAGGAAAAUCAUAACACUGUCCAAAGAGAGGCUCAUUUGAGCCCCUGUGGUCUGCUAUGCAUGCAGGCAGAGCUGCCUUCUCCAGCUUCAGAAAGAGCAGUGAGGGGCGAAGAUGGCCACUGGAAGUCAGCAGCAGUACAGUGAAAGGGAAAGGAUAGCGUGUAGACAGGGAUUGCAAUCUAGAUACAUUUCUAUUUAAUUUCCAUUCCAAAAAGAGAAUACUUUCGUGCUAACAGAAGUGUUGCAAGUACAUCACAAAGUGCUUUCUUCCAUUUAAGUGCAUACUGUAUUUUUUAAAAAUAAUCUCCAUGCACGAAUAAACUAUAUUUCUCCAUCUAGUCCUCAGGAAUAUUUCCAAUUUUGACAAUUAACUCAGAAAAGUCUUUUGUAACAAAACAGCCCCCAAGAAGAAACACUUAUUUACAGACAAAUCUGUGCUGCCCUGGUCUGACCUGGGACUCUGGGGAUACUGCCCCUGUGCUGAGUAACUGAGAUCUGCCAGCCGUGCAGCUGUGCCCAGCCUGCCCCAUCCCCUGCUGAUUUGCAUGUUCCCAGAGCACAGCCCCCUGCCCUGAAGACUUCUUAAUAGACUGGUCACAACCUGUGCAGGAGUCAGUCCCAGUCAGGACACAGCAUGGACAUGAGGGUCCCCACUCAGCUCCUGGGGCUCCUGCUGCUCUGGAUCCCAGGUGCCAGAUGUGACAUCCAGAUGACACAGUCUCCAUCCUCCCUCUCUGCAUCUGUAGGAGACAGAGUCACCAUCACUUGCCAGGCGAGUCAGGACAUUAGCAAUUAUUUAAAUUGGUAUCAGCAGAAACCAGGGAAAGCCCCUAAGCGCCUGAUCUAUUAUGCAUCCAGUUUGGCAACAGGGGUCCCAUCAAGGUUCAGUGGAAGUGGAUCUGGGACAGAUUAUACUCUCACCAUCAGCAGUCUACAGCCUGAAGAUAUUGCAACAUAUUACUGUCAACAGUAUGAUAAUUUCCCUCCCACAGUGUUACAAGUCAUAACAUAAAUCACCCAGGGGAGCAGAUGUGUGAGGCUCAGUGGUCCCAGAUGCCCCUUCUGGUGCCUCCACCUGCUGAGAGUGUUUCUCAAAUCGCAGUCACACUUUGAAGGUCACUGGAGAGUUUUUGUAAAAGAGCCAUGAAGGCCCACUUACUCAUAGCUGUCUUUCCUUGUCCUAAUCCCCGGUAGCGCAGACAGGGCAAUGCUUCUGAUUUCAUUGAGAAGAAAGGAUUACACCUGAGGAGUCUGAGUUGUGGCAUCAGUUGGAAUUCAUACAGCAAAAAUGAGCCACUCUAGGUAUUCCAAGUAGGAUUUUUUUUUAACACAAGGUGUGAGAAUCUAAACUAUAACCUUUUAAAGGCUUACGGGUAUAGUAGUCAAAGAUGUAAAUACUAGAAAAGAGGAAUUCUCUUCCAGAAUCCAGAAUGCAUCUGACAGAGAAGGUACAAUUGCCAAUCGUGUGGUCUUUAGACGUUUCUGAGAAGCCCAUGGGUGGGAGUGCAGAUGCUCUCAGCUGCCUGGAGGACUUCACCAGGUGCUUCUGCAGUCCUCACCUCUGUCCAAAUGUCUUGUAGCAGGUGCUGAUGGAUAAUAUUGAAUCUUCCCCUUCUUACUUCUCAAUCUCAGGGUGGGCCCCUCACUGGGCAACUCUACCAAAAACCAGAGAAGGGAAAUGGUUUCUGGCAAAUGUGCUUCCAGAAUGAUAGUGAUGAUGGGGAAGUGACAGGUGACAUCCUAGUGUGGGCACAUAUCCCGACUCUCAGAAUUUUGUCAGUGAAGUAAUGGCCUCAGAAUAUACUUGGAUGUACUUCCAUAUACUAUGAGUAAGUUUCAAAUCGUAGCAAGAAAAUGAUAUUUAGUCAUAUGAUAAAUAGAACUAUGUGGCUACAUUAAUCAAAACGGCAUAGUGCUGGUACAAAAAGAGACAAAGAAAAAUGGAACAGAAUAGGGCACUCAGAAAAAAUGCUGGAGACCUACAACCAUCUGAUCUUCAACAACCCUGAUGAAUACAAGCAAUGGGGAAAGUACUCCCUAUUUAAUAGAUA
Molecule: non-coding RNA, 3696 nt
Organism: Cercocebus atys (sooty mangabey)
Lineage: Eukaryota; Metazoa; Chordata; Mammalia; Primates; Cercopithecidae
Source: the annotation of a RefSeq genome assembly